RNAcentral lists this unclassified non-coding RNA (339 nucleotides) under soil metagenome. Its description in RNAcentral is "partial contains 5.8S ribosomal RNA, internal transcribed spacer 2, and large subunit ribosomal RNA". The stretch from base 1 to 120 matches the Rfam family "5.8S ribosomal RNA", at positions 35 to 154 of the family's 154-position model. The record is from RNAcentral.
GAUGAAGAACGUAGCGAAAUGCGAUAAGUAGUGUGAAUUGCAGAAUUCAGUGAAUCAUCGAAUCUUUGAACGCACAUUGCGCCCAUUAGUAUUCUAGUGGGCAUGCCUGUUCGAGCGUCAUUUCAACCCUCAAGCUCUCUUGCUUGGUGUUGGGGCUUCUGCGGCUUCGGCCGCAGGCCCUGAAAAACAGUGGCGGGCUCGCUAUAACUCCGAGCGUAGUAAUCUCUCUCGCUUUGGAAGUGUGGCGGUUCCCGGCCGUUAAACCCCCCAAUUUCUGAAUGUUGACCUCGGAUCAGGUAGGAAUACCCGCUGAACUUAAGCAUAUCAAUAAGCGGAGGA